AGAAUCAACGCUGGCGGCGUGCCUAACACAUGCAAGUCGAACGAGAAAGUGGAGCAAUCCACAAGUAAAGUGGCGCACGGGUGAGUAACACGUGACUAACCUACCCUUGAGUGGGGGAUAACCUAGAGAAAUCUGGGCUAAUACCGCAUAAUACCUUCGGGUCAAAAGGAGCAAUUCGCUUAAGGAGGGGGUCGCGGCCGAUUAGUUAGUUGGCGGGGUAAUGGCCCACCAAGACUAUGAUCGGUA
This 246-nucleotide ribosomal RNA is filed under the name uncultured bacterium. Its description in RNAcentral is "partial small subunit ribosomal RNA". It matches the Rfam family "Bacterial small subunit ribosomal RNA", at positions 26 to 285 of the family's 1533-position model. The record is from RNAcentral.